GAUGAACGCUGGCGGCGUGCCUAAUACAUGCAAGUCGAGCGAACGGACGAGAAGCUUGCUUCUCUGAUGUUAGCGGCGGACGGGUGAGUAACACGUGGAUAACCUACCUAUAAGACUGGGAUAACUUCGGGAAACCGGAUCUAAUACCGGAUGAUAUUUUGAACCGCAUGGUUCAAAAGUGAAAGACGGUCUUGCUGUCACUUAUAGAUGGAUCCGCGCUGCAUUAGCUAGUUGGUAAGGUAACGGCUUACCAAGGCAACGAUGCAUAGCCGACCUGAGAGGGUGAUCGGCCACACGGGAACUGAGACACGGUCCAGACUCCUACGGGAGGCAGCAGUAGGGAAUCUUCCGCAAUGGGCGAAAGCCUGACGGAGCAACGCCGCGUGAGUGAUGAAGGUCUUCGGAUCGUAAAACUCUGUUAUUAGGGAAGAACAUAUGUGUAAGUAACUGUGCACAUCUUGACGGUACCUAAUCAGAAAGCCACGGCUAACUACGUG
RNAcentral lists this ribosomal RNA (497 nucleotides) under uncultured bacterium. Its description in RNAcentral is "partial 16S ribosomal RNA". It matches the Rfam family "Bacterial small subunit ribosomal RNA", at positions 28 to 507 of the family's 1533-position model. The record is from RNAcentral.